AGUGAACGCUGGCGGUAGGCCUAACACAUGCAAGUCGAACGGCAGCACAGUAAGAGCUUGCUCUUACGGGUGGCGAGUGGCGGACGGGUGAGGAAUACAUCGGAAUCUACUUUUUCGUGGGGGAUAACGUAGGGAAACUUACGCUAAUACCGCAUACGACCUACGGGUGAAAGCAUGGGAUCUUCGGACCUUGCGCGAUUGAAUGAGCCGAUGUCGGAUUAGCUAGUUGGCGGGGUAAAUGCCCACCAAGGCGACGAUCCGUAGCUGGUCUGAGAGGAUGAUCAGCCACCUUGGAACUGAGACACGGUCCAGACUCCUACGGGAGGCAGCAGUGGGGAAUAUUGGACAAUGGGCGCAAGCCUGAUCCAGCCAUACCGCGUGGGUGAAGAAGGCCUUCGGGUUGUAAAGACCUUUUGUUGGGAAAGAAAAGCAGCAGGUUAAUACCCCGCUGUUCUGACGGUACCCAAAGAAUAAGCACCGGCUAACUUCGUG
RNAcentral lists this ribosomal RNA (492 nucleotides) under uncultured bacterium. RNAcentral describes it as "partial 16S ribosomal RNA". It matches the Rfam family "Bacterial small subunit ribosomal RNA", at positions 29 to 507 of the family's 1533-position model. The record is from RNAcentral.